Long non-coding RNA from Magnolia sinica, 240 nucleotides. RefSeq lists it as uncharacterized. The transcript has 2 exons. Lineage: Eukaryota; Viridiplantae; Streptophyta; Magnoliopsida; Magnoliales; Magnoliaceae. The record is from RefSeq and is a predicted model, not a curated record.
UUACAUCUGCAGUUUCAAGGAAAGAAGAAGCUCUAUCUUCUGCAUUUGUUGAAAUUGACCGUCUGAAGGAAGAAAAUUCUGUAAAAAUGUGACCAUUAUUAAAUGCAUAUGGAGGGGCACGCCUUAGUUAUAAUUCUUAUGAUAGGUUGAGCAAAGUGAAGUAUUGUUUAUUUAGAAAUGUGAAUGUAGGAUGCAUUGUAUGAUUUGAUUGCUAUUUGUAAUAAACGCAUCAUUUUUUUU